CAAUAGCGUAUAUUAAAGUUGUUGCAGUUAAAAGCUCGUAGUUGAAAUACUGACAUAGUCGACCGGUCUCACGCAUUGUCGUGAGCACUUGUGUUGUAUUAGGUCAUUCUUGGAUUUUAGCCAGUCUGGCAUUAAGUUGUCGGGUUGGUGAAAACCAUCGUUUACUGUGAAAAAUUAGAGUGUUCAAAGCAGACUUAUGUCGUUGAAUAGAUUAGCAUGGAAUAAUAAUAUAGGACUUUUGUACUAUUUUGUUGGUUAGGUGUAAAAGUAAUGAUCAAUAGGGACAGUUGGGCGUAUUCGUAUUUCGUUGCUAGAGGUGAAAUUCUUGGAUUUCCGAAAGACGAACUACUGCGAAAGCAUUUACGAAGGAUGUUUUCAUUAAUCAAGAACGAAAGUUAGGGGAUCGAAGAUGAUUAGAUACCAU
This 424-nucleotide ribosomal RNA is filed under the name uncultured eukaryote. RNAcentral describes it as "SSU rRNA". It matches the Rfam family "Eukaryotic small subunit ribosomal RNA", at positions 592 to 1018 of the family's 1831-position model. The record is from RNAcentral.